CGGCGUGGAUGAGGCAUGCAAGUCGCACGAUAUGGGGGCAACUCCAUAUAGUGGCGCAAGGGUUAGUAAUACAUAGGUAAUCUACCUCUGACUCUGGAAUAACGGCUGGAAACGGCCGCUAAUACCGGAUGAGGUGGUAUGAGACAUCUCGUACAUAUCAAAGCGGGGGAUCGAAAGACCUCGUGGUUGGAGAAGAGCCUAUGGGAUAUCAGCUUGUUGGGGUGGUAAAAGCACACCAAGGCUAAGACGUCUAGGCGGAUUGAGAGAUUGACCGCCAACACUGGGACUGAGACACUGCCCAGACUCCUACGGGAGGCUGCAGUCGAGAAUCUUUCGCAAUGGGCGCAAGCCUGACGAAGCGACGCCGUGUGAACGAAGAAGGCCUUCGGGUUGUAAAGUUCUUUCGCCAGGGAACAAGGGAGAUAGGCUAAUAACCUAUUGACUUGAUGGUACUUGGUAAAGAAGCACCGGCUAACUCCGUGCCAGCAGCUGCGGUAAUACGGAGGGUGCAAGCAUUGAUCGGAAUUACUGGGCGUAAAGGGCGCGUAGGCGGCUAGGUAAGUCAGAUGUGAAAUUCCGGAGCUCAACUCCGGAGCUGCAUUUGAAACUGUUUAGCUAGAGUAUAGUUAGGGUAAACGGAAUUCCACGUGUAGCGGUGAAAUGCGUAGAUAUGUGGAAGAACACCGGUGGUGAAGACGGUUUACUGGGCUAUUUCUGACGCUGAGGCGCGAAAGCAUGGGUAGCAAACAGGAUUAGAUACCCUGGUAGUCCAUGCUGUAAACGAUGCAUACUAGGUGUAGGAGGGAUCAACCCCCUCUGUACCGGAGCUAACGCAUUAAGUAUGCCGCCUGGGGAGUACGCUCGCAAGGGUGAAACUCAAAAGAAUUGACGGGGGCCCGCACAAGCAGUGGAGCAUGUGGUUUAAUUCGAUGCAACGCGAAGAACCUUACCUGGGCUCGAAAUGUAGAGGACGAUAACAGAGAUGUUAUUUCCCGCAAGGGUCUUUAUAUAGGUGCUGCAUGGCUGUCGUCAGCUCGUGCCGUGAGGUGUUUGGUUAAGUCCAGCAACGAGCGCAACCCUUAUC
RNAcentral lists this ribosomal RNA (1084 nucleotides) under uncultured bacterium. RNAcentral's name for it is "bacterial SSU rRNA". It matches the Rfam family "Bacterial small subunit ribosomal RNA", at positions 40 to 1109 of the family's 1533-position model. The record is from RNAcentral.